GUUUCCGUGAGGAAGGGUCUGGAAAAGCCGGUGAGCAAAGCUAUAAGCCGACGGAUAGAAAUAGCAUCAAGGGCAAGUUC
Molecule: non-coding RNA, 80 nt
Organism: Desulfobacterales bacterium C00003106
Lineage: Bacteria; Pseudomonadati; Thermodesulfobacteriota; Desulfobacteria; Desulfobacterales
Source: Rfam